This 440-nucleotide ribosomal RNA is filed under the name uncultured bacterium. RNAcentral describes it as "partial 16S ribosomal RNA". It matches the Rfam family "Bacterial small subunit ribosomal RNA", at positions 338 to 795 of the family's 1533-position model. The record is from RNAcentral.
CCUACGGGUGGCAGCAGUGGGGAAUAUUGCACAAUGGGGGAAACCCUGAUGCAGCGACGCCGCGUGAGCGAUGAAGUAUUUCGGUAUGUAAAGCUCUAUCAGCAGGGAAGAACAUUACGUUACCUAACUAAGACUCCCCGGCCAACUACGUGCCAGCAGCCGCGGUCAUACGUAGGGGGCAAGCGUUAUCCGGAUUUACUGGGUGUAACGGGAGCGUGGACGGUACGGCAAGCCAGAUGUGAAAGCCCGGGGCUCAACCCCGGGACUGCAUUUGGAACUGUAAGGCUAGAGUGUGGGAGAGGAAGGCGGAAUUCCUAGUGUAGCAGUGAAAUGCGUAGAUAUUAGGAGGAACAUCAGUGGCGAAGGCGGCCUGCUGGAAGAUGACUGACGUUGAGGCUCGAAAGCGUGGGGAGCAAACAGGAUUAGAUACCCUUGUAGUC